CAUCAUGUGGGUACCUUGGGAGACAGGCACAGCUCAAUGAUCUUUCCAAGCCUCAUCUCCGGAAUAUGCAUAGCUGCUGGUAUAAACAUUGCAUCCGGGGAAGUGGCUGCCAAACCCAGCCCCAUCAUAAAGCACAGUACCUUGGAGGCUCAAGACAGAGUCAGGAUAAAGCACUGGGAAAAGCAAGAAAUUGAACGGCGCAGACAGCAGGAAGAGCAAGGUCACGAGCACGCAGAGCAAGAGAUGCCUCAAGCUCCACCACCACAGGUUGAGAUAAAUGCACAGUUGUGGCGCCAGAUUUUCACCACCACCACGGGGACCAGCCGAGACGUACAGAGUCUCCAGCAGGCUAUGGGGACUUUGACGACUGAGAUGCAUACAGCCCACCGUGACAUCCGCAUUUCCACUGAUAUGUCACGUGCUGCUCGCCAGGAUGCCCAGGCAGCUAGGAGGGAGAUGGACACUAUGAACGGUCGACUCAGUGUGUAUGUGGGCAGGGUGGAUGGCAUCCAG
This 513-nucleotide long non-coding RNA is filed under the name Olea europaea subsp. europaea. Lineage: Eukaryota; Viridiplantae; Streptophyta; Magnoliopsida; Lamiales; Oleaceae. The record is from RNAcentral.